UUUUUCCAUUUAGAUGUUGUUGUGCAAUUUGACAAUUUGUUGUUCGAUUUGAGGAGUGAAUAAAAACAUCAAAUGUGGAAUCUUGUGAAUUUUCAUUUACACUUGCACUAAAUAAAUUAGAGGCAUUAAGAAAUGUUUAACUAAUUCAGUAUUUCAAUGAUUAAAGAUGAUAUAAAACAUAAGGUUAGUGUUAUUAAUUAGUUGUGCUUUUCUAAUUGCUUAUUGGACGCUCAAUUUGAUACUAUUCUGUUGCUGGAAAAUUGUUUGUGAUUUUACUGACGCCGCUACACGCUAUGUCUCUUAGGAGGAGGUUUUCAAACUACAAAAGUUUCCAUUGAUGAAUGAGGAAUGAUGAAGGUUACUGAAGCUUUCAUUGUAUCAGAGUUUGUGUAGGUGAGCUGAGCCUAUUCUUCUCACUUCACUUCCAACUUCCUUUUCUGUUCGAUUUCUCUCCAAAUUAGAGUGCAAUUGCACUUGAUUGUCUUUCAUUAAUUUCUUCUUCUUCAAUUGGAAGUCUCUUGAAUUCGAGAUCUGCUAGGAUGGCGAUUGGAAAUGAUAAAACUGAGCAUGUCGGUGCUUCAAUGCGAUCUCACACUGUGGUUUCAAACACAGUCGCAAUUGAUCAGCAUCAUCCAUUGUUUCUUCAACCCAGUGAUACUCCAGGUAAAUCCUUGAUCUCUGUUAAGCUCACUGGUUCUGAAAAUCAUGCAUUAUAGAGUAUUCUAUGAAAAUCAGUAUGUUAUGUAAGAGAAAAUUGGGGCUUGUUGAUCAUCAUUCUAGAUACACUUGGAUUUUCUUGCUACCUAUGUAAUUGCUGCCCUAAGGGUUUUCUGCUUAUGGUAAAAACUUUGUAUGAUGUCUCGGUGAAAUAUCUUAGAACUGAUAAUGGCUGUGAGUUUUUCAGCUCUUC
Molecule: long non-coding RNA, 910 nt
Organism: Solanum pennellii
Lineage: Eukaryota; Viridiplantae; Streptophyta; Magnoliopsida; Solanales; Solanaceae
Exons: 2
Source: RefSeq, a predicted model, not a curated record